Oenanthe melanoleuca is the source of this 1343-nucleotide long non-coding RNA. RefSeq lists it as uncharacterized. The record is from RefSeq and is a predicted model, not a curated record. Lineage: Eukaryota; Metazoa; Chordata; Aves; Passeriformes; Muscicapidae. The transcript is spliced from 5 exons.
CGCCCGGGGAAACGGAGGAAAACACAAAUAACAUCGAGGAAGAAAGAACAGCCUGCAGAGCUGCCCGAGCCAUUGCCCUGCCCGCAGCCGGGAGCAGCCAGCAGGAGGAGGCAGCUGCUUUCUCAGCCAGAAAGGACUGGGACUCUCCUUUUUGCCCCGGGAGCUCAGGGCUGGCCCGAGCCUGUGGCCUCUCCCGCAGAGAUUCAGCUGUGGGGAAGCUGCAGAGAAGGCUGCCUGGCACAGCCCCCCAAAAUGGGCCUCCUCCGACUGGGCUCCCGCAGAGGAUGGGGCAGUUGCAGCCCCCUGUCAUUCCUGUGAGAUUUGGUAAGUCUGGGGAGGGGUUUCCUGACUGUCCCUGUCUCCAAGCGAGCCGUGCCUCGUUGUCCAGAAGCCCACAGGGGUCGGCUGCAGUCCUUAAGAGCAGUGCCUGCUUUCACCACUGCCUUUUGCUGCCUGCAGAGAUCUGUGCUGAGGGUUGGCAGCUCCUGCUGGGGCAAGAGCUGCAUCUUCCAAGAGGCAAAGCUGCAGCAUCUUCCUCCCCAGGGACUGUCUCCAUGCAGGAAGCAGCACAGGGGACUGGCCGAGGGGCUCGGGCUGGGACACGGCCCCAACAGGAGCAGCCCUGGCACACUGACACGGGAGGAUGAGCCCAGGUGAGGAGCACGGCCCCAGAGUGGCACCAAGACAAGCAUCUCCUGUGGGUUAUGUGGGGCUGUGCUGUGCACCCUGGGGGUGCUGACUGACCCCCUUUGUGCCGAGACAGAGGAGAUGCUGCUGCACCACGUCCCCAGGAGAGCCCCUGCCUCCUUCUGCUCUCAGGGAUGGGACUGGGAGACGCCUCCACGCCGAGAGUGGCACUUGGCAUGGCUUCAGUCCCCAGUGGAAGAGGCUGGGCUCCCCGCUGCCCAGAGCUCCUGGUUAGGGACACCCACGCCUGCGCCUGGCUCAGAGUCCAGGCUGCACUCAGUCCGGAUCCAGCCUCGAGAUGUUCCUGCUGCAGCUGCAGGUGUUUCCCAGUCCAGCUCGCUGAACCUCCAGCUCUGACUGUGGCACGUUCUUCCUUCCAGCUCUGGCUCUGAGAUGCUGCACUUGAUGGCUGCUCCAGUUCCUUCCAGCUCUGGUGUUGGUUUUUUCAAGCACCAUUACAAGGAGAUGCUGGAGGGCACCAAGACCCCCGGGGUGCCCCAGGACUGAGUGGAAGGAGCCCAAAAAUUUUGGGCACCCCACCCCCCCAAAUAAUUAAAUUCACAUGGAAGCUUCCCCUGUGUUUGUGUGGAGUUUUUGGAAAUUAUUUUGGAAUUUUUUAGGGGGGGGUUUGGGAAACUGGGGAGGAGGAAAAAUAA